GGUGAAGUAGCUCAGUGGGGAGAGCAUUGGACUGAAGAUUUAAAGGUCCCUAGUUCAAUCCUAGGCUUUGGCA
This 73-nucleotide transfer RNA is filed under the name Pelodiscus sinensis (Chinese soft-shelled turtle). It matches the Rfam family "tRNA". From Rfam's summary of the family: Transfer RNA (tRNA) molecules are approximately 80 nucleotides in length. Their secondary structure includes four short double-helical elements and three loops (D, anti-codon, and T loops). Lineage: Eukaryota; Metazoa; Chordata; Testudines; Trionychidae. The record is from Rfam by way of RNAcentral.